GAACACGGAGCUUGCUCUGUGGGAUCACGUGGCNAACGGGUGAGUAACACGUGAGCAACCUGCCCCUGACUCUGGGAUAAGCGCUGGAAACGGCGUCUAAUACUGGAUAUGUGACGUGACCGCAUGGUCUGCGUCUGGAAAGAAUUUCNGUUGGGGAUGGGCUCGCGGCCUAUCANCUUGUUGGUGAGGUAAUGGCUCACCAAGGCGUCUGACGGGUAGCCGGCCUGAGAGGGUGACCGGCCACACUGGGACUGAGACACGGCCCAGACUCCUACGGGAGGCAGCAGUGGGGAAUAUUGCACAAUGGGCGCAAGCCUGAUGCAGCAACNCCGCGUGAGGGACGACGGCCUUCGGGUUGUAAACCUCUUUUAGCAGGGAAGAAGCGAAAGUGACGGUACCUGCAGAAAAAGCGCCGGCUAACUACGUGCCA
Molecule: ribosomal RNA, 430 nt
Filed under: PAH-contaminated sludge bacterium PB-25
Lineage: Bacteria; Bacillati; Actinomycetota; Actinomycetes; Micrococcales; Microbacteriaceae
Description: bacterial SSU rRNA
Rfam family: Bacterial small subunit ribosomal RNA
Source: RNAcentral